Molecule: transfer RNA, 78 nt
Filed under: Bacteroidota bacterium
Lineage: Bacteria; Pseudomonadati; Bacteroidota
Description: Bacteroidetes bacterium (freshwater metagenome) tRNA-Val
Rfam family: tRNA
About the family: Transfer RNA (tRNA) molecules are approximately 80 nucleotides in length. Their secondary structure includes four short double-helical elements and three loops (D, anti-codon, and T loops).
Source: RNAcentral
GGAACAUUAGCUCAGUUGGUUUAGAGCAUUACUUUGACAGAGUAGGGGUCACUGGUUCGAGUCCAGUAUGUUCCACGA